GAUGAAGAACGUAGCGAAAUGCGAUAAGUAGUGUGAAUUGCAAAAUUCAGUGAAUCAUCGAAUCUUUGAACGCACAUUGCGCCCCUUGGUAUUCCAUGGGGCAUGCCUGUUCGAGCGUCAUUUGUACCUUCAAGCUAUGCUUGGUGUUGGGUGUUUGUCUACUCCACGGUGUUUAGACUCGCCUCAAAUUCAUUGGCAGCCGAUGUAUUGGUUUGAAGCGCAGCACAAUUUGCGAUUCUGGCUUGUAUCAUCAGCGUCCAUUAAGCACAAUUAACACUUUUGACCUCGGAUCAAGUAGGGAUACCCGCUGAACUUAAGCAUAUCAAUAAGCGGAGGA
Molecule: unclassified non-coding RNA, 337 nt
Filed under: soil metagenome
Description: partial contains 5.8S ribosomal RNA, internal transcribed spacer 2, and large subunit ribosomal RNA
Rfam family: 5.8S ribosomal RNA (bases 1-120)
Source: RNAcentral